This 497-nucleotide ribosomal RNA is filed under the name uncultured bacterium. RNAcentral's name for it is "partial 16S ribosomal RNA". It matches the Rfam family "Bacterial small subunit ribosomal RNA", at positions 28 to 507 of the family's 1533-position model. The record is from RNAcentral.
GAUGAACGCUGGCGGCGUGCCUAAUACAUGCAAGUCGAGCGAACAGAUGAGGAGCUUGCUCCUCUGACGUUAGCGGCGGACGGGUGAGUAACACGUGGAUAACCUACCUAUAAGACUGGGAUAACUUCGGGAAACCGGAGCUAAUACCGGAGAAUAUAUUGAACCGCAUGGUUCAAUAGUGAAAGACGGUUUUGCUGUCACUUAUAGAUGGAUCCGCGCCGCAUUAGCUAGUUGGUAAGGUAACGGCUUACCAAGGCAACGAUGCGUAGCCGACCUGAGAGGGUGAUCGGCCACACUGGAACUGAGACACGGUCCAGACUCCUACGGGAGGCAGCAGUAGGGAAUCUUCCACAAUGGGCGAAAGCCUGACGGAGCCACGCCGCGUGAGUGAUGAAGGUCUUCGGAUCGUAAAACUCUGUUAUUAGGGAAGAACAAAUGUGUAAGUAUCUAUGCACGUCUUGACGGUACCUAAACAGAAAGCAACGGCUAACUACGUG